GGGGAGUGACGUCAAGUCAGCAUGGCCUUUAUGUCCGGGGCUCACACACGCUACAAUGGCCGGUACAAUAGGUAGCAAGACCGCGAGGUGGAGCCAAUCCCUAAAAGACCCGGUCUCAGUUCAGAUUGCAGGCUGCAACUCGCCUGCAUGAAGUCGGAGUUGCUAGUAACCGCGCGUCAGCAAUAGUGCGGUCGAAUACGUUCCCGGGCCUU
RNAcentral lists this ribosomal RNA (212 nucleotides) under uncultured Anaerolineaceae bacterium. Its description in RNAcentral is "partial 16S ribosomal RNA". It matches the Rfam family "Bacterial small subunit ribosomal RNA", at positions 1174 to 1382 of the family's 1533-position model. Lineage: Bacteria; Bacillati; Chloroflexota; Anaerolineae; Anaerolineales; Anaerolineaceae. The record is from RNAcentral.